GACGAACGCUGGCGGCGUGCUUAACACAUGCAAGUCGAACGGUGAAGCGCCUUCCUUUUUGGUGGGUGUGGAUGAGUGGCGAACGGGUGAGUAACACGUGAGUAACCUGCCCCCUUCUGCUGGAUAACCGCAUGAAAGUGUGGCUAAUACGGGAUAUUCUGGGUCUGUCGCAUGAUGGGUCUGGGAAAGAUAUUGUUUCGGUGGGGGAUGGGCUCGCGGCCUAUCUGCUUGUUGGUGGGGUGAUGGCCUACCAAGGCGGUGACGGGUAGCCGGCCUGAGAGGGUGGACGGCCACACUGGUACUGAGCCACGGCCCCGCCUCCGACGGGCGGCAGCAGUGGGGAAUAUUGCACAAUGGGCGCAAGCCUGAUGCAGCGCCGCCGCGUGGGGGAUGGAGGCCUUCGGGUUGUGACCCUCUUUCGCCAGUGAAGCAGGCCUGCCUCGUUUGUGGGUGGGUUGACGGUAGCUGGAGAAGAAGCGCCGGCUAACUACGUG
This 494-nucleotide ribosomal RNA is filed under the name uncultured bacterium. RNAcentral describes it as "partial 16S ribosomal RNA". It matches the Rfam family "Bacterial small subunit ribosomal RNA", at positions 28 to 507 of the family's 1533-position model. The record is from RNAcentral.